Molecule: transfer RNA, 84 nt
Filed under: Oreochromis niloticus (Nile tilapia)
Lineage: Eukaryota; Metazoa; Chordata; Actinopteri; Cichliformes; Cichlidae
Description: tRNA-Leu (CAA) (tRNA-Leu-CAA-5-1)
Rfam family: tRNA
About the family: Transfer RNA (tRNA) molecules are approximately 80 nucleotides in length. Their secondary structure includes four short double-helical elements and three loops (D, anti-codon, and T loops).
Source: RNAcentral
GUCAGGAUGGCCGAGUGGUCUAAGGCGCCAGACUCAAGUUCUGGUCUCCAAAUGGAGGCGUGGGUUCAAAUCCCGCUCCUGACA